This is a long non-coding RNA of Phascolarctos cinereus (koala), 1854 nucleotides long. The record is from Ensembl. NCBI's taxonomy places the organism in Eukaryota, Metazoa, Chordata, Mammalia, Diprotodontia, Phascolarctidae.
AUGACCAGCCGGCCUCUUCUCUGCGCCCUGCUGCUGCUCUCCUGGAGGCUGCUUGUAGCUGAAGAGACCACUACGAAAGCUCUCACGAACACCUCUCCUACCAGUUUCCCCACCACCUCCCAUAGUAGCUCCCCCUCCCCUCCCACCUCUGACAGUGGCUCCCCAUCCCCCUUCCCUUCCACCUCCCACAGUAGCUCCCCCUCCCCUCCCACCUCUGACAGUGGCUCCCCAUCCCCCUUCCCCACCACCUCCCAUAGUAGCUCCCCCUCCCCUCCCACCUCUGACAGUGGCUCCCCAUCCCCCUUCCCUUCCACCUCCCACAGUAGCUCCCCCUCCCCUCCCACCUCUGACAGUGGCUCCCCAUCCCCCUUCCCUUCCACCUCCCACAGUAGCUCCCCCUCCUCUCCCACCUCUGACAGUGGCUCCCCAUCCCCCUUCCCUUACACCUCCCACAGUAGCUCACCCUCCUCUCCCACCUCUGACAGUGGCUCCCCAUCCCCCUUCCCUUCCACCUCCCACAGUAGCUCACCCUCCUCUCCUAACUCCCACAGUGGCUCCCAGUCCACCACCUCCUCCCACAGUGGCUCUACCUCCCACACCAGCUGGCCCUUCUCCCCAACUACCUUUGGGGGCUCCUCCCCAAACUCCAACACCUUCUCUGGAGAUCCAUCAGCUGCUACGAGUAUGACAACCCCAGAGGAGGGGUCCACCACGCUGGGGAUCAGUGCCAGUUCAGGUGAGGGUCCAGCCUUGUUGGGUUACCCCCCUCUCAGUCAGGCUAAGACCUGAGAGGCUGGUCAUCAUCUGGAAGUGCACCAGGUGGCGCUGCUGCCACGUGGGAACUCAAGCAGGUGUCAGGGCAGCUAAAGUAGAAGUGAGCUCUGCUGGGAAGGUUGUUGAUCUAAGGAAAGAGAGAUGAAGGUGUGGGUUAGACUCCAGAGUACCCAGAGUACUCUGCUUGGGUAUCCUUCCCUCCAUUCCCCACCCCUUCCCUUAUUCAAGGGGACCUGCAGGGGCAGCAGCAAUGGGGAGAAGGGAUGGAUGACAUUGAUGGGGAGAGGGGAAGAGCCUGACUGGGAAUUUCCUUCCCCACUCCAGCCCCAGGGGGGACCCAGCGCAAUCCUGCUGUGGUGAUUGUGGUCUGCUUGCUCGUAUCCGUUCUGGUCCUGGGCUCUGCUAUGGUGGCUGUGAAAUGCUGCCAGAAGAAUGUGAGAGGCUUUGAGAAGAUGGAUGAGAUGCCCAUGGUCUGUGCCUCUGAGGAAAGAUCACCCUGAUUCCUGUCUGAUGAGCCCUUCCUUCCUUCCCCCCUUUCUCUCUCUCCUCCUUUCCUCGUUCUCUCCCUCAUUUCCUUCCCUCUUUCUCUCCCUCACUCUUUCUCUCUCUCCCUCCUUCCUUCCCUCUUUCUCUCCCUCUCCCAUUCUCUCCCUCCUCUUUUCUCUUCCUCUUGUCUUGCUACCCCUUUCUCUGCCCCCUUCUUUCCUCUCUCCUUUUUUCUCUCCUUUUACCAUUUUGUUCCUGUCUUCAUACCAUCUCACUCCGGGAGAAUUCCAGAGGAGUAGGUUGGCCUAAGGCAUUGGUGGCUCCAAGGAACCCCCAAACCUGGUCCUUCCUGCCUUCUCCUCACCACAAGGGGGGCAGCUCCCACCUGAAUAUCUCCUGUUUUGUUUCACUUUUCAGGCAACUGUUCGAGAGGAAUCACCCUUUGCAAAAUUACCCCCCCAGUGACCACAGAUGGCAAUGGGGGGCAGCUUCUGAGGGGCUGUUGGGACAGCUCCUGUUCACCCAUGCCCUCUACCCCCUCCCAUAAGGAUACUGGAGUCUGUCACUGAAUAAAACGAAGACUGAAAUGAGACA